Molecule: signal recognition particle RNA, 266 nt
Filed under: Bacillus sp. ISL-18
Lineage: Bacteria; Bacillati; Bacillota; Bacilli; Caryophanales; Bacillaceae
Description: signal recognition particle sRNA large type
Rfam family: Bacterial large signal recognition particle RNA
About the family: The signal recognition particle (SRP) is a universally conserved ribonucleoprotein involved in the co-translational targeting of proteins to membranes. Archaeal SRP consists of a 7S RNA and homologues of the eukaryotic SRP19 and SRP54 proteins. In most bacteria, the SRP consists of a 4.5S RNA and the Ffh protein (a homologue of the eukaryotic SRP54 protein).
Source: RNAcentral
UCGUGCUAGACGGGGAGGUAGCGGUGCCCUGUACUCGCAAUCCGCUCCAGCGGGGUUGAAUUCCUUUUCUAGGUUAAUUCGCUGUAGGGUCAGUCUUAAAAAAGUGAUGUUGACGUCUUGGUCCUUCGCAAUGGGAAUCCAUGAACUAUGUCAGGUCCGGAAGGAAGCAGCAUUAAGUGGAAGCUCUCAUGUGCCGAAGGGUUGCCUGUGCUGAGUUAUCUUUUUUUUGCAACGCUUAUGGAGAUUAAUCGACAGAAGGUGCACGG